This 16233-nucleotide long non-coding RNA is filed under the name Gallus gallus (chicken). RNAcentral's name for it is "lncRNA (ENSGALG00010017385.1)". The record is from RNAcentral. Lineage: Eukaryota; Metazoa; Chordata; Aves; Galliformes; Phasianidae.
CUCUGUGGUCACUUUCAUAGUCCUGUGGUGGUUAAAAAAAAACAACACAAAAAGAGUCCAGCCACACAAGAUCUGCUCCUGAAGCCCAUGCUAGCAGCCUGUGGGCUUUCCUGGAAGCAAAAUAACAUCUCUGAUUUUACAGAUAUAGUUACUAUGCCCCUAUGAGUUGUCCUGAUGUAACUUAAACAUUGCAAAAGGGCCUUUCUCUUUGAAUCUUACUUCUCCAUUGUGCUAUGUAUUUGUGAAGAAAAUAACCAAGCUCAGUUUCCCUUACUUUCCCUCAUCCACACUAAAUUCUGAUCUCAUUUGUAUUAUUAUUAUUAAAAAAAAAAAAAAAAGGUGAAUUCCUCACCUCAUUGUACAUCUGUCCAGCAGGAGAAGGUAUCCCUGUGCUGGGUAGGAACGGCUGAGCCUGGAGACAAGCAUUUUGCUGAGGGCUUAGUCUCGCAGAAACACUUUGGGAUGCUUUGCUGGAACAGCUCUGAAGAAGAUACGUAUGACAAGAAGCUGAAUAAAGAGCUCCUAACUCUGAAGAGUCGUGCACAACACUGAGAGAGCAUGACAAAACAGCACAAACAACUUGGGUCUCCCUGGUGUUGUAUAUAGUUUUCUUUAAAACAAAAUAAACAAGCAAAAAACAAACAAAAUACCCAACUGAUUACAGACUGAGGUAAUUCCUAUGUCCUUUUCUUUACUAGGCUAACAGUUAGAGCACUUGCCUAUAAAUUUUUUUUAAAGACCCCUGCUCACUUUACAACAUGCAUAUUGAUGCAAGCUACCAGAUGCCAGUUUCUUGAGUGAAGCCAUAAAAUAUUUUGUAAGCCUCAAAACACUAAUUCCUGAUAGCAAUACUUAACUGAGAGACGAAGGGACCUAGAUCUUCAGAAAAAGUCAGUUUGUGCCAUUUCAUGUGUAAAUCUCUGUUUUUAAUGGAUUUUCUUAUUCUCUGAGAAACAAAUCAUAAUUUUAGUUCUUUUAUCUAGUCUUUUUUUUUUUUUUUAGUAAAAUUAAUUGAUUGCACUCUGGACAGUUAGAUCACUUACUCUAUUAUUAUCUGCUACAAGUUCAGUAAAUGUUGUCUUUUACCCACCCAACUACAAGGGAUUGAAUGUAGUUGGAACAGACAGCUAGAUAAUUUGAAUAUCCACCUAGCUGGGUUAGUCGAGAUAUUAGUAUUGAUGAUUCUGAAUUUGUUUACCUGUAUUUUGCUUUCACUGGUAUUGAACUUGUGACCUUUUAUAGACUGCUGUAUCUGUUAGUUCUUUUUCAGUCAACUAUUGUGUAAAGUGUCCUUUGUCUUGCCCUUUUUAUAUGUUGUUGACAGUGAGCUGCAUUCUGAAAUAUGAUUGACUAAUCUUCUUUGGGUCACUGACUUGAAUAAAAUCAUGAGCGUAAAUGACAAUCAGCUUGCUAGUGCAAAUAGUGAUUGAGAGAGACAUUGGUUUAACAGAUUCUGAAAUCUGGAUGAAAUACCUGUGUCUGUUGAGAAAGGUUUGGAAAGAGCCAGACUUCAGUGUUGUCCAGUUCUCUAGUCAUCUCUGAGCAAAGCCUAAUAAUUAGAUACAUUAAAACUUAGACAUGAAAGUUUUUGUUCCUAUUCUGUAUGUACAUUUUAGAUCCCUAGCCAGCAAGUGCUGCUUGUGGUUACUGAAGUCCUCUUUUGGAGUGGAAGAGCAAUGGACAUGCAUAAGCGAUCUUAGGAGGAGAGAACUGCUGUUGUAGUCCGGCAAAACUACAGGAGCUGUGCUGCAAACAUGAGACCAAUGAAAUUCUCUAAACAAAUAAUCUUAGCAGCAACUUACCAGGAGUUCUUAGCCUCAAUGUAGCUCUGAGUGAAAUGGAAAGGGAGGUAUGAAGAAAUAUAGAGGUAUGGUGUCUUCUCAACAUUUCCCUUUGAGCUGCCUCAGAACAGUUCCUCAUUAGCAUCCUCAUCUCUUAAAUCCCUUUCUGAGAUAGACAGAAACACCCUGUGGCAGUGGUAGGUUACAGGCACUCAAAGUGAGAUCUGCAGGAGGAAGUCUGAGUGCUCCUUUAGUGAAAUGGCCUUGUUGUUUCAUGCAGCGUGAUUUAUUGUUACUUUGUUCACAUGAAAGUCAAAUUCAUUGAGUAAAUUAUAUAAUGUGAGCAUCUCUUACUUCCAUUAUCAUAGGAGCAGAAUGUGCUAAAUUGAGCAAAUCAACCGAAUCAUUACUUAAUCAUGUGUUUAAUUCAUUUUCAUGGAUCUUCACCAUGGGUAUUGGUUACGUCCUUGCAAAUGCACUGCUGUUGUGUUUCCCUAGAAAACACUCUUUCCUCUCCUCAGUAUUCAGUUAAUAGAUAUUACAUGAAUAGAUUUAAAUUAGAUAACUUCACAAGUAGCGAAUUCAGGCUACAGAUAGAUUUGUGUUGUGCUAUUGAAGUUUGUUUAAAGAUCUUUCUCUGGAAACUUGUAUAGAACAAAGAAUUUUGCAGAAGUCAUGAAGAAAUGAGAAAAGUCUGAAAGGUAUUUGUGCUGGAGCUAAUGAAGAGCGUAGUACAGAUCCCUACAAUGGCCACGGAAGAGGGAGUGGUCCAAGGCCAAGAGGUUUAAUUUCAAAUCCCCUCUCUCCCUCUGUUGUUUUUUCAAAGUUAGGAUUUUUCCCUCUUUCUUUCCUUCUUCACUUUUCAGUCCCUUCUUACUUUCUUCCAAUGUGACUCCCAGAUCUCUCUUUAUAACUAACUCCCUCAACUAACUUAGUGAUUGACUUCAAUGGGACUUGAGGAUGUGCUCAAGAGCACUCCUGAAGAAGGAUGCUCUAGUUAAUCAGAACUGAAAUUGUCUGCAAAGUAAAUAACAUUUAUGAUGAGUUUUCAGUUAUUGAAUAAGUGCAAGAACAAUUUCUUCAGGUUUAUUUUGUCACAAGUGACUUUAUUCAUUAAUUGUUCAAGCAACUAGAUAAACCUCUUUCAAGUACAUGGUGUGGAAGAGAAAACCCCACUUAUGUAUUCCUUUAAGAACUCUAGUUUGCAUGCCCCCAGAGCAGUACAUAUACUUUGUAGUGCAGUGUUUAAUAAGUAUAAUGAAAACAUAGUUUUACUUCUUUAUUGAUUUUAUUUCUUUAUGACUAAAUCUAUACUAAAAAUUUAACGUCUAAUGUAUUUUCUGGAGAACUUUUGGCUCCAAUCAGUUAGCCAGGUGUUUCCUGGGAGUUACUGGUAGGUGCUGUCUCAAUACAUAUUCUCCUUCAGUGGAGGGCAAGAGAAGAUAAUGGUGUUACUCAGUUCUGUGGCAGCAGGUGUCAGCAGCAGUCAGAGGUCCUGGGCAGGUUUAGCUCAUAGCAUAGGUACACUAGGCUGCAGAAGGGCACAGAAGAACCCUCAUGUUCUUUGAUUAAGGGACUGUAAUUUUAUCUAAUCAUUAAGCAGGUAAAAGCAGCAAGGCAGCUCCAAGUUGAAUUGUGAAUAAAUAGAGGAAUGCUGCAAACUGUUUUGAAAGUAAGUUGCAUUGACCUAACCCUCAGAGCUCUAAUAGUUCUAGCUGAACAUCAAACUUGUGAAGGGCUUGAAGAAUAUGCCCUAUGAGGAGAGGCUGAACUGGGGCUGUUUAGUCUGAGGAAAAGGAGGCUGAGGGUAGACCUUAUUGCUCUCUUCCAGUAUCUGAAAGGUGCUUACAGUAAGAGCGGAGUUGGUCUCUUCUCACUGAUGACAGGUGACAGGACGAGGGGAAAUGGCCUUAAGUUGUGCCAGGGUAAGUUUAGGUUGGAUAUUAGGAAACUCUUCUUUUCAGAGAAGGUUUUUAAGCACUGGAAUAGGCUCCCCAGGGAGGUGGUUGAGUCAUCAUCCCUGGAUGUGUUUAAAAACCGUUUAGAUGUGGUGCUCAGGGAAAUGAUUUAGCAGAGUGUUGUUAGAGUUAGGAUAGUAUGGUUAGGUCAUGGUUGGACGUGAUGAUCUUUAAGGUCUUUUCCAACCUGAGUGAUUCUGUGAUUCUGUUCUAUGAUUCUAGUACCUGUUUUUCAAAAUGAAAUUGUGUAUUACUGCACUUUGGUCCUUUGCAAUUUUUUUUUUUAAUAUGGAAAAUAACUGUAAUAUAUUCCCUCAAUAAAGACAUUUAGCAUCUCAGACAUCGUAUAUAAAUGAUCUUGUUGGUGCCAUUACACGUGAAUUCCACAGCAUGUGAUUGCAUCCCUGUGGUAGCAUACAAAUAAAUAACCUGCGGCAUACGUCAAAUUAUGCCAGGACUAAGACACAGUGAUAGCUUCAUGAAUCAUCAACCACAUGGCUGAAGCCUGUGUAUUCUGGGUAUACUUUGCAGUCUUUGUAGUCUUUCAGGUCUGACAGGCAAUCGAACAGUCAAUCUUUCUGGCCCCUUUGUGCAGGUGGCUGAUUUCACCGCCUUCUUGCACAUCCCUUGAGCCCAUGUUAUUGUCAUUAAAUUUAAGGAAAGCACUGGAGUUGUUUGUUGAAAUGUUUUAUAGGGCUUCUUUUGACCAAAUAAGAUGUCAAAAAUGAAUUUAUCACAGAUUUUUAUUUUUUAUUGUAAUAUUUAGCUUUUGUUUUUGUUUAAAAAAAGCUUACCUUAAAAAAUGAAGACACGGAAAAAAAUGGAUCUCUGCAAUGGCUAGGUUUCAAAAAUUUCUGUGAAAAAUCAGGAGUUUUGUCCUUUUACUAUUUUUUUUUAUCAAAUGUUUUCAUACAGAAGCAAACAAAAUUUUUCUACUCUGCUGACCAUCUGCACAGGGCUAUACUGCUCUAGACCUUGCUUUCCUUGAGGUACAAUGGGAGCAUGGGAGAGUCCAGGUAAACACAGAUGUUUCCUGAUCAUAUCCAGUUGAAGAGCUUCAGCUUGACUGAGUGUGUUUUCUUCCUCUCCAGUAGAAGCCCUGCAAUCACCCUUGGUUAAAUCAGAGAAUGAGACUGUGUAAACCAGUAUCCUCUGUAUAUUCUUUAUUGCCUGUAAUUGACUGACUUUUUAAAUAGUCCAUUUUGACUAUUUUUUAAAUAUUGACUAUUUUUUAAAUAGUCCAGUGGCAAUGGAUUGUGUCAAACUUUCUCUCCCUGACUAAAACAUGUAAGCUGUGACUUUAAAAAGAAGUAUAUGCGUCAUAUGCUUGGCUGAGUCAAACUAAACCUGUACAAACAAUAUAUAAUUAUAGAUCAAUUGCCAGACUUAUGAACUGCCUGAUACUAUUCAACAUAAUGACAGCUAUAUUUCUGGCAAUGAAAAGCUAAUCCCACAGAAAUAUCAGAUACGAUCCUCCAUGUUUUUCUUACAAGAAAUUAUGUGGAUUUUUUUAGAUCUGGCCUUCUGAAUAGAUCUAACAUACCAGUAUGGUUUGUACUGUACAUUACCUGUUAAUUAUAGUAGACAAGAAUUCAAGUUUGAAAGAGGUAAAAACUGAUAAAUGUAAAAUAAUGUUCUGGCUAAAGAAUUGCAUUCUUCAGUGAGACUGGAGAAAAGAAUCAGCUUUAAUGAUAUAUUAGCAGUGGAGAAACUGCAUACCUUAGAAAGUCAAAUUUUAGAGCAUUUUUUUAUAUUCAAGACAAAAUAUAGAGCCAAGGAACAAGCUAACUAAAUAUACAUCUCUCUAUAUAUAAUGAUAGUUAAGAAUUGGAAUCAUAAAAUUUACCUCAGCUGGAACUAACAUUUCUUAGUCUGAUCUGAAUAGCAAUCAUAGCUAUAACACACUAUUGCAGUGCACUGAAAAUAUGUUAGUUCCCAUCUGGAAAGUUGCAGUGAUUGCACUUUUUAAAAAUUUCCUUCUAACAAGAAGCAAUUUUGCAAUCUCAGCUCUGGCAGAAAUUAUCAAGAUGAAAUGCUUCUUUUACCUUUACUUAAAUGAUACAUUAUGCAAAUUGAAAACAGCAAUUUAAGGAAACAAUUAUAUAAAGAGAACAGCUUUUCUGACUCCUGAACAGGAAAUGUUACGGGAUAAAAAAAGCCAACCCUAAAUGCUGUUGACUUCAAGCUAUUAUAGGAGGAAAAGCUUGAUACCUUUCUUCAUUCAAAGACUUCCUGUUUCAGCAGUUGCCAGUAAAAACUGUCCUUGUGUAAUAUCCCUGAAGCCUUUUAAAACCUGAGAAUAAAUAAGUGAAGUUGUACUCCUACUAAAAAAGUGAGGAUGUUGCUAUUGCUACAUUCUUAAAUAACCUGUAUCGGAAAUGUUCUAGUGUUCUUGCUCCUGCCUUGGAUAUAUGCCUGGAUGUGAGCUCUUAAAGUUCAUUCUUGAGCAAAUAUCGGUUAUAUUUCCUUUAUUCAGAAUCAAACAAAUAAAAAAACAAAUAAACAAAAAAACCAACAACCAGAAAUAAAAAUUAUUUUGAUGGAUUCUUUUAAAAUAUAACUCCAUAUUUUUACUGCUGAUAAUAUUUAGGAUAUUUAUAUAGGAUAUAUAUUUUCCUAGAGGACUCCUGCUACUAUGUCUUUAUUGCAUGAUGUGACAUGCUGACUGGUGCAUUAUAUGCCCCACAAUUUUCUACUCCUGUCCAAACUGUAUUCAGUCUGUCAAGACAGUUUUCUUAGGUAAAGAUGGAAAGGCAAAGAUGAAAAGAAUCUGAAUUACAUGCAAAUAGAUCAAAAUAGUAAUUUUUUUUUUAGUAUCAAAAAGUUAUUUCUGCAAAAGCUUUUCUUAGACUAUGAUGCUCUAAACAUUGCCUUUAACUUUGAACUGCUGCAGCUCAGCUUUACCUCACUGAGGAGAUAUCUGUGACAUGGUGGAGAGGGGUGUGACCAAAGCAGUAUCACCUAUACUGACAAUUCAAAUGAUAUACUUAAUUCUCUUCAAAAGACACAUCUAAUAAUGUUCUUGCCUUUCCUGUUUUGCCAGCCUUCCACCUGUAUGACUUUCUGAAUAAAUGUGUCAGCAUGAGGGUGACACAGAAUGCUGUAAUGGACAGAUGUUACACUAAAGAAUCCCACAACCUGCAGGUGCAUUGACUGAAGCAGUGUGGUCAAAGUCCAAAUUAAUAUGAAUUACUUUGAAGUUGGGUGCAUUAGUGUCAUGUGUUCUUGGAAAUAAGUUUAACUGAUGUAUAAAUAGUGAUUUCUUUUUUUUUUUUUUUUUUUUUGGUCAAAAUUGUGCUUAUUAUAACAAGAUUUAUUAUUUAGGUUAGUGUCUAUAUUGUCUUUAUUUAUGAUUAGCUGCCAAAUCUUAAUAGAUGCUGAAAGUUGAUUUUACUAUAGAUGCUAACACAUAAUUAUCUUUUCUUUGGUCCUACCCCUCCCUGUUUCCUAAUACUAUAAUUCAUUUUUUCUGCUGUUGGAUUUACCUUUGUAUAGAGCAGUAGCAUGGUAAGCACUGGAAACAUGGUAAAAGAUCUAGUAGUAGAAAGCGUCCUUGGAUUGAAUUAACAUAUGUCAGAUCUCUUUAAAUUUUGUAUGAACACAGGUAGGUCUAUAAUUAAGAUUUUUCAAUUUGCAGACUAAUCUGUGAGAGAUAUCGAGUGAAAGAAACUGAGGCUGAAGACAAAAUUGAACUAAGAAGUUCAGAACAUGAUGUAAAGAUGAUACUUGCCAUUUUUCUGAAGGAAAGAAAAGAAGGAUCAGGAAUCUGAGAUCCAAAAUAUUGUGAACAAAUCUUCAGACAGUGGAAAAAAAACUGUCAGCAUUUGAGGAAGCAUGUAGAGUGCUUUCACAUGAUCAAAGAAGGGCUGAGGAUUUAAGCAAAGUGCUUUGGAUGUCAGAAAAUUAUGGAAUCAUAGAAUGGAUUAGGUUGGAGGGGAUCUUAAAGCCCAUCUAGUUUCAACUCCCUGCCGUGGGCAGGAUUACCACCCAUCGCAUCACACCACAUCAGGCUGCCCAGGGCCCCAUCCGAUGUGGCCUUGGAGGCCUUCAGGAAUGGGGCAUCCACAGCCUCUCUGAGCAACCUAUGCCAGUGCCUCGCUACCAUCUGCGUAAAAAAUUCCUUCCUAACAUCCAAUCUGAAUUUCUGCUUGUUUAGUUUAAAUCCCUUCCCCCUUGUCCCAUGACUAUCAACUGAAUAGGAAAAGAGAAUUACAAGCAGUCAGCCUGAGUUAGAGAUGGAAAGGAGACUAAAACAAAUAGAAGGCUUUUUGCUCAGUAAAUAAUGACAAGAUAAUGAUACUUAACAUAUUGUUUUAAAACAGUAGAAAGAUGAAGAAAUAAAAAAUGGAAAUACUCAGAAUCAAAGAUUGGCUAAUAUGAAUCAAUUAUUAAGAGGAUUCACUAAUUGGGCAAGGGUAAGAAGGAAAGAAAAUUAAUAAAGUAGGUCCAUUAAUUUUUAGGAAGUUAUUGGGUCGUAAAAAGCAGCUGAGAAUUCAGAAUCUCUAAUAAAAUAAAUUAAAUAUAGAGGAUGUUGAGCUCCAUAAAAAUGGUUUGUUUAAAAUUAGCUUUUCUCAUUUCUGUGUUUCCAAUGGAGAAAUCAAGUGGGAUUAAAAAAAAGGAGCAAUGAAGAUAAACAUGGUAUUUUGAAUAUUUAAAGUAGCUUGGGGGCUGUGAGUAAUAAAAUUGUAGAUGUACCUAUUUAGAUUUUAGUAGGAAGAUAUUUUUGCUUGUAUGUGUUCUGCUUCUGAUUGAGAAACUGUUUAAUUGUGCUGGGAUCGUGUGGUACCUGAGCUAAGAGCUCUGCUGGGAUGGGUGAUGCCCAAUGAAAUGGAGGACUGCUAUGGGAGAGUUCCUUGUGGCAUUGCCUCUGUGAACACUCCCUUCUUUAAAAUGUGUCUGAUCCAGAGUGAAUUACACAAAUUAUGAGACCUAUUUGAAACAGGCUGCAUUGAGGUUGACAGUAGGGGAGUGUCUGUGGCAUCUCCUACAGACUUGGCUGGUAACUGGGCACUGAGCUGCAUGGGCUGAAGCAAACAUUUGCAAGAGUAGGAGAGUGCCAGUGCAGAUUUUGGGGGAUGUCGAAGGGAUUUGAACACCUCCAGGUUUUGAGUGUUGUUGAGUGCCAUUAUGUUGGGAAAAACUGAGUUGACUAAGGCCUGUUGUAGGGCCUUCCCACCUCUCCUUGUACAGCUCAGAUCAGUGGUUUACAAUGCAUCAGGAACUGCUAAUGUGACUUCGCAGCAUUCGCUUUGAAACAAACAACAAAUUGUAAGCAGGCUUCAUUUCAUUAGCUGGGGUUGUCUGGCGAGGGAUCAGAACACUGCUGGGGUCAGAAUUAGUGCAAUCAUCUUAGCACCAGUUCCUGCCAGCUGUAACCCCAAGGCCCCAGAGAAGUACCCGUGUAUGGGCAAUUCUGAAGUGAUGACCUUACAGGCUGCUCACUGUUUUUUUGUUUGUUUGUUAUUACUCUGUUUAUCUGUUUGUCUAUAAAUUAUUCUGCAUCUGUAGUGUUCAGUCCUGUGCAGCAGUUCCUGUUGCGCAGUGCCUUGCCAGCCUUCCCCUCUCUGUGCUGUGCACCUGUGUGUCCCGUAUAUGCCUCCAGUGCUCCCAUCAGUCUGUGUUCUCUUUCUUCUCUGCUGUGCUGUGUACACCCUGCAGUCUAAUCAGAUGUGUGCUGAUCAUAGGAAUCUUCAUGUUCUUUUGUUUGAAGCACCUCAGCAGAGCUCUCUGCUUUUUUCUUCCUGCCUGACAGUUACGCUCAUUGCUUUGUCAUCCCAGUCAGUGGGAGUGCAAGAACUAGCAGCAUCCUGGCAUUCUUGUUGAAGGCACACACUGGAGAGCAUUUUCUGUCACGAUGUUCAAAACAAACAUCUACUGCAAUGCAGCUGUUUGAGCUCUGCUUGCUCUUGCUACUAUUUUUGUUUGCAGUUCAAUACAUUUUCUUAAACCUCUUUUUGUAAGUGCAGAUACAUGCUGCAAGCUGAUAUCUGCUCAGGGAGCUGCCUGCCUUGGCAAACAGGCAUCUGUUUUUCAGUGUGUCAACAGGCAGUUGUUCAAGCAGUGUUUUCUUCCUGUGUUAGUCUGGCCCAAUAUUUGAAUAAUCCUUUUGUUUGCCUUCACCUGAGGAGAUUGUGUGAGAAUCCAGAGUGGUGAGUUUACCGAUGGAUCCACGCAGCCCUGGAUCAGAUUAUUUUUUUAGUUACUCAACCUCUUAUGCUCUAUUAGGUUUAUAUUAAAAUAUUAAUAAUUCCAGAACCAGGAUCAUGCAGUUAAUAUUGUUCCCAUGAGCAAUCUGCUACUCAGUAAAAACUGGUGCUGAUAUCUCAGAGGCAGUAAUUUACCAAUAUUCAUCUUGUUUCCUAUUCCCCUGUACAGCAGCUUGUCUUUAUCUUGUCAGGAGAAAAGCUACUGCUCUGCUGUUUCCCCAGCCAAGAUCAUUUCAAAUUAACGCAUCUUAUUAUAUGCACACCCAGGGCCUCAUCUGUAAUCAUCCUUCAAAACAGCAGUUUGUUCUGUAAUUAACUUGUAACUGUAUGGCUCAUGCUGCAUAUGAAUGGUUCAGUUCUUCCUGCAAAACAAUCUGCUGAUUUGAAAAUGGUCUGAAAUAUAUUUUUAAUUGAGAAUAUUUUUUAUUUUAUCAUUACAAUAGUGAGAGAAUACCUGAAAGAUGCUUAGUUUGUUUUAGCCAAGUUCUAAACCCAGGAAGAUAAAUGUUUGCCUCUUUCAAAGAAUGAGACCUGCUAAAAUGGAUCUUUCUGUAUCAUGUCUGGAAGUGUUUUGCUGAACAGAAAUAGCUGUAAGAGUACUUACAAUACUUAGUAUGACUAUAAGUAAGUGCUGCAGUCUGGCAUGGAAUUUAUUAUUAUUACUAUUAUUAUUAUUAUCAUUAUUUAGGAGGCUGUGGCUCCUCCCUUCCUACUACACUUAGUAGUAGGUCAGCUACAGCUACAGCCAACCAGAAAUUGCUGGGAGAUAAGUUUUCACUUCAGGAUGCGUUGCAAUGCCUGGAGUGCUUGAGCAUUUCCCUCUGCACUAAGCUGUAUGUUCUUCUACCCAAAAGAAAAGUUUCUUCCGUCCAGUUUACUCUGGAUCAGCCAGGCACAGAGCACUCUGCUGCAUUCAGCAUUUUGUCUGGGAAGUAUAGGGGAAGGUGCAGGUCACGAGGAGUGAAAAUUAGAGAGGCUUGUGAAGUGCAGGGCACUCUUCCUUCAAUGUAUUGCAUAGGCAGGGCAUGCUGCUGGGCAGCUUUCCCUGGGAAGUUCCUGCUAGAACUUUCUCAGUGGUGGGAAUUCUCUCACAAAGUUUAAAAAGGAUUUGUCCUAAAGAGGAGUAGGAACUUGCAAGGGAAGAGAGGCUUAGAGUACUGCUUAUAGGAGGAAUUUUUGGACUGGGAGGGAGAGGUGGAUAAAAGCAAGGUGUCUUUCUUUUGAAGGAUCUAGAGGCCCUGUACUUCCACAGAAAGAAGGGGAAACAAUUUUCUUGUGUUCACAUUUAUAGGAAUUGAUCUGAUCCUUUGCUUUUGGUGAAAAGUGAGACAGAUGGGAAUUUUUAAUUCUAGGAAUUGUGACACUCAUUGAGUAGACUGGUAGAAGAAAUGAGUAAGGCAUCCCCACUGCUCUCUGCCUUCUUUUCUGACUGGUGUCAUAGCCUUUGUGGGUAGCAUUAUCCUGGGAACAGAGGGAAAGGAUGUUGGGGAAGGAGGGUGGAGGUAAAGCAUGGGUCAGGAGCCUCAGGAAACCCAAGACUAUUCACAUAGAUAGCUCAGCAGGAUCCAUUCCUCAGAUCUGGAGUGACACCGCUGCGGCUGUGGUAGGCCACCUCUACCCGAACAUGGCUAUUUUGUUUGCAAAGCCCUGGUAUCUUAAGGAGUGCAAACAUCUAGUUUGUCUUUUUGUUUUUCCCUGAGUAUUCACAGUUUGCUCUGGGCACUUGCAGCAUUUGGGAAGAAUAUCACUCUGAUUUGUUGCCUGCAAGAGAGUCUAAUUAAAACAAGAGAGCAGGAUGGGAAGUGAUGACACACAGUGCAGCUGAGCUGAUCCCAAAGCUGAACAUGGCAGCUGCAGUUUUCAUCAUUUGCAAAGCCUCAGCCAACACGUUGGCCCACAGAGUUAAAAUAAAUGUCUAAUUACGUUGUUUAAUCAUUUCAGUUCCAAAUUCGUGCUUGCAAGGAUUGCAAAAGAUAGGAGUGAAACAGCACAAGGGCUGUGAUCGCAGCAGUGGCCUGCCAGUAAAUCUGAAAUCAGGAUGCUUUUUCUGAGUCAGAUUGCUCCCUGCUCCUCACAGUGGUCAAGCUGUAGAGGAAUGACUCUCUGUGCCUGACCAGGCUGCAGCCCUGUCCCCAGCUCUGCCUCACCUGCACUGCUUGGCAGCACCAUGCUAAUUAGGUGUAGAGCAGUGAGCCCUGCAGGUACUGAGAGCAAAGACUGGGAAAGACUUCAAAGGUGUUUACUAGUUUCUUUUUAUUCUUAAUCCUAUAGUGAAGCUAUAAAAGAAAUAUCUAAUCACUGCUGUCCUGAUCCAGCAGUGUGUUAUGUACGGAGAGACACUGCUCUGGCAUAUUUUUGGUUGAGGUGGUUUUGAGUUUCUUUGUGACUUUCUGAGAGGGAGCAAAUGGGAAAAACCUCAUUAGACCUGAUUGUUAAAGGUGGACAGGGGAGAUACCAGUGUCAAGUGGAGGACUGAGAACCUCAUGUUGAAACAGCCUCCUGGGAGUUGAAAUGUGUUAAGUCUAAGUCUAGCCUGGGGCACAGGGAGCACCUUUUGACCCACAGCCUAGGCAAAUUCUCUAGAUUAAAGUGAUGGGGACAACUGGCCCUUAAAUCUCUUCACAGCUCUAGCCCACAGUUGCCAAAAUAUUUGCCAGUAAAAUACAUUAAUAUGUCUAGAUUAAUGGAUCUACUCUGUACAAAUGCACAUUUGUUAAGUUAUUUGUGAAUCAACUGUUGGUCUAGAUUACUGUUACAAAAAGCACUGGAAGUGAGGUGACUUUACACAUACAAGCGGAUCCCACUGAUAACGUACAUUUGCUUAAGCAGUGGCCCACAGGAACUGUAAGGUGUUAUCCUUUGUUUGUCGUUCUUCAUAUGGCUCAAUUGCAGAUGAUUGUUGAAAACACCACCAAGAAGUAGGAAAAAAAUGUCCUUAUGAUAAAUUUUCAUCUAAGAUUGCUUUUCUUCUCUUUUCCUAAAAGUCUUCCUUUCCUUAGUUGGGAAAAUUCUGCACAACAUGAAUGAAGGUUACUAAAACAGUCAGUGCUUCACUUGCUGUUAACUGGUGUGAAAAGAGCAUGUCUGAGUUUAGGAGAUACUUACAGCCAACAGUUUUCAGUAAUCAAGAUCAUGACUCGUAUACAAAGAAAUUGUGACUGCAGUAAAUGAACUUGGUGAACUCUCCUGAGAACAAGAUUUUGUUUAAUUUCAGUUCCCACAAACUAUAUCUCAUGUUUCUAUAUGAAUACUAAAGUUUAAUCUAUUCCAAAGUAGUUGUAAGAGAAGUGGAAAAUGAAACCUUAAGUACUAAGAAGCCAGGCAUACUCGCAAUCCAAACUUUGGCCUAUUUUAAAGAACCACAUUUUUAUUCUAAAGGGAUUUCCUCUAAGAAGACAUUAACUGUUGCAAUGAGAAACUUUUUGGAGAGCAAAAAGAAUUGUCCCCAGAGUUCGGUGUCAGUUUGCUGCUGAUGUCUGUUUAGCUAAUUUAAUACUGCCAUUUACUAACAGUGACUGCAUACCACAGUCAACUGGAAAGCCAAUUGAUUUCUUCACGCUUCUAUUGGAGCAGGUGGUCAGUCAGCUGUACUCUCCCUUUUUCCAUCAAGGUUUUCACAUUUUAAUUCUCUAUUUCUUCCCUGGACUGAUGCUUUUUGUAAUUAGUCUUACCUUUUUCUCAAUAAUCUCCCAAAUCUCUACUAAAAUCUCCCAAAUCUCUGGAACCUUUGAUGCAACACUUUGAGUUAUUACAAACUUCUGACACGUGGUAAUCCUAGAAUUUGUUUGCAGACCAGACAAAUAAAAGGGCCAGGUGCAAUCUUUGGGUAUGCAGUGGCUGUUACUGGGGUCCAUGCUAGAGCUUUUGCUUUCCAAGUUGUUGGCUGCUGCAUCUGUCUUUCGUACAUUUCUGUGGCUUUUUGUCACAGAGGGAAAUGAAAGUAUUUUCAAGCACGGAAGACUACAACAUGUUUUUAUCUACACACAUUUUUCAAGAACCUUUGCAUUUUUAAGCUAUUUUUUUUUCUUUUUUUCAACCACUUAGUCUCAGAGCCUUAAAAAAAGGCUUUCCAGAAAGCCUACAUAGAAAAAACAGUAUGUUUCAUUUCUUUUGUUCUCAUUGAUCCUGUGGGGUGAUGAUGUGAUGAUUACCUAAAAAUCUUGGUGCCCAUCUGAGAGUGGUAAGAAUUUAAAUGAGUGAUUUUUUUAGUUCUCAUUACCUGGAGACAGCAUAGAUUAGACUUUGAUAAAAUGCACAGAUUAGAACAAAAUGGAAUUACACAUGUUCAGCUGCUCUGGAGUUUAUGAAGCUUGCUGGUUCCUUUUUUUUUUCCUUUCAUUUUUUCUUUUUCUUUUUCUUUUUUUUUCCCUCAUGCACAAAUGCAAGUAGUAUUUUAUUCUCACAGAUAUUUCAGGUUUUAUUAGGUCUAUUUUUUGUUAACACUGUGCUGUCUGUAAAUGUUCACUAGCCUUUAUCCAGAUACCAGCCUCUUUUCUUUUGUAUCUUUUUCUAUAAUAUGAAGUAAAUCCAAAGUGGUAUUUUAUUUUUCAUGCUUUCUUGUAUUCAUUUUCAGCAAAGGAUUGAAAUAAUUCCUAGGUCUUAUGACGAGGGUGGAAUGAAUGCAAUUACUGAGUUAUAAAAGGAUAUUAAAAUAUACCACAAUGACUGCAACUCAGUAAAAUCCAUAGUCUGAUCCCCACCUAAUAGGAAGUUGAAGGAAGCUGAAAAAAAAUUAAGCGUGUUUUUCUGAUUGUGAGUUUCCACGAGUGCAUGGCAGAAGGUCAUCAUUCAACACACUGCAUCCUAGUCCUCUGUUGGUGAAAGUGCACUUUCUGACUUUUGAAGGCUUAGGCUUUCCUCUAUCUGCUGUAAAUUGGACUGAAGGCAUCAAUAACUGAGACUGGUAUUGUAAGGUGUGCUGUGAUGCAUAUCUAUUGCUAAAACUCCACAGUGUUCACCAGGUUGCAGUUCAUCUCCCUUCUCUGUGAAGGCGCAUUGCUUAUCAGAUGCAAUAAGCAUUAGACCACUAGGCCUGAUGUUUUGUCCUGCCUCUGGUCCCAGAACAAUAACUGCACUUCCAGUGAGUGCAAUCUGCUUUCACCUUCUAAUGUUUAUGCAAGGGAGGGCUAGAGUCAAGCUCACACAGUGUAUCCACUUAAAAAAUACUUCAUCUAAACCUGUGACAGCAUUAAAUUUUUAAGCUGAUUAUCUUGCUUUUUUUUUUUUUUUUUUUUUUUUUUUUUUUUACAACCAUCUUGUUAUGCAAUGGAUAUAUUCAUGUUCCUUCAAUUUCAGAGGAGUGUAAACUUGUCAGCAGCACAGUGGGUCAUCCUUGAAGCGUCAGAACAGCAUAGGGUGAGAUUUUUCAAGGCAAGUACAGAAUUAAGCUAGUAAAGAGAAGUUGAAAUCUGUUACCAUAAGGACAGCUUUUGCUUCACUAUCCAUGCUUGAAAAUGUUGUGGAUCAUUUCUUUUUAGGAAGAGGCUGCUGAAACUGGGAAUGGAGAAUGAAAUUAAAAACAGAAUGUAAUGUAGGCAGGCUUUUAUGCCAGCCUAGAUAAUCCUGUUGCCCUUAAUGCAGCUUUCUGCUGCUGAAAGAAAAACAAAUAUUCCUCUCCUACUUUUCAUUGAAGAUCUUUUUUUUUUUUUAAUAACAUUGAGACCUUGCAAAAUCUCAAUACCUUGAACGUCUUUGGUACUUCAGUGAAACUGCAAGCUACCAUUCAAUUUUUAACAAUUCCUCCAUGCGUUUGCCUGUUGGCUUUCCUGGCUUAACAUGUUUUGCAGUUGCUGAGUGUAUUUCAAGCCUAAAUGUGUACUUACAUAGCUAAGCUGGGUGCUCUGCAAAUGAAAUGCUCAAUUAAACACAAAAGAGGAGGCUGCCAUUGAUGCAUGCAGUAUUUCUCCUUGAAAUCAGUUGUGGAAAUUGCCACAGAGCUCUCAUCUUCUAGUUGCUUUUUCAUCAGUCCCACAGGAGUGGUUGGGCUAAUUUCAAUUUAACAUUCAACUUAAAACACUCAUGUACUCAUGGCUGCAGAUGCACCUUGCUUAGAUUCUUAAGGUAAAACAAAGCAGUGUGGUAGCACUGGUGUGGCAGCGCUCAGAUGUGCAAUGCAUCACUAAAAAGGGUGCAUAACUUCACCAGUACCUGUUUGGGUCUAGAUAAAAUAGGGGUUUAAUUGGCAAGAAAUUAGGCUUUGCAGCACCCAGCUUGACUCUAGAAACCAGUGAGACCUUAUAAGGAAUGAAGUACUCUUGGUUAAAGUGUAAUCUGGGUAUAGAAGCAGAC